Molecule: ribosomal RNA, 250 nt
Filed under: uncultured bacterium
Lineage: Bacteria
Description: partial 16S ribosomal RNA
Rfam family: Bacterial small subunit ribosomal RNA
Source: RNAcentral
UACGUAGGUCCCGAGCGUUGUCCGGAAUUACUGGGUAUAAAGGGUGCGCAGGCGGUCUUGUGCGUCAGAAGUGAAAUAUCACGGCUCAACCGUGAGGGUGCUUUUGAUACGGCAAGACUUGAGUGCGGGAGAGGAUGAUGGAAUUCCUGGUGUAGCAGUGAAAUGCGUAGAUAUCAGGAGGAACACCGGUGGCGAAGGCGGUCAUCUGGCCCGUAACUGACGCUCAGGCACGAAAGUGUGGGUAGCAAAC